Molecule: ribosomal RNA, 497 nt
Filed under: uncultured bacterium
Lineage: Bacteria
Description: partial 16S ribosomal RNA
Rfam family: Bacterial small subunit ribosomal RNA
Source: RNAcentral
GAUGAACGCUGGCGGCGUGCCUAAUACAUGCAAGUCGAGCGAACGGACGAGAAGCUUGCUUCUCUGAUGUUAGCGGCGGACGGGUGAGUAACACGUGGAUAACCUACCUAUAAGACUGGGAUAACUUCGGGAAACCGGAGCUAAUACCGGAUAAUAUUUUGAACCGCAUGGUUCAAAAGUGAAAGACGGUCUUGCUGUCACUUAUAGAUGGAUCCGCGCUGCAUUAGCUAGUUGGUAAGGUAACGGCUUACCAAGGCAACGAUGCAUAGCCGACCUGAGAGGGUGAUCGGCCACACUGGAACUGAGACACGGUCCAGACUCCUACGGGAGGCAGCAGUAGGGAAUCUUCCGCAAUGGGCGAAAGCAUGACGGAGCAACGCCGCGUGAGUGAUGAAGGUCUUCGGAUCGUAAAACUCUGUUAUUAGGGAAGAACAUAUGUGUAAGUAACUGUGCACAUCUUGACGGUACCUCAUCAGAAAGCCACGGCUAACUACGUG